RNAcentral lists this non-coding RNA (959 nucleotides) under Loxodonta africana (African savanna elephant). RNAcentral describes it as "Bacterial small subunit ribosomal RNA". It matches the Rfam family "Microsporidia small subunit ribosomal RNA". Lineage: Eukaryota; Metazoa; Chordata; Mammalia; Proboscidea; Elephantidae. The record is from Rfam by way of RNAcentral.
AAACACAAAGGUUUGGUUGUAGCCUUUUUUAUUUGUUGUUAGCAAAUUUAUACAUGCAAGUAUCUGCCCACCAGUGAGAAUGCCCUUCAGAUCAUUAUCAGAAGGAGCUGAUAUCAAGCACACACCAACGUAGCUCAUAACGCCUUGCUCCACCACGUCCCCACGGGAUACAGCAGCAACAAAAAUUUAUCUAUUAACGAAAGUUAGACUAAGUUAUACUACAAAGGGAUGGUCAAUUUUGUGCCAGCCACCACGGUCAUAGGAUUAACCCAAAUUAAUAAACAAUGGCGUAAAACGUGUUUAAGAGCAAGAUAAAAUAAAGUUAAAAUCUAUCUGAGCUGUAAAAAGCUGAUGAUAAAGUGAAGAUAAUCAACGCAAGUGACUUUAACAACUCUGAAUACACGAUAGCUAAGACACAAACAGGGAUUAGAUUCUCCACUAUGCUUAGCCCUAAACCAUGAUAACUACCAACAAAUUUAUUCACCAGAGAACUACUAGCUAAAGUUUAAAACUGAAAGGACUUGGCAGUGCUUAUAUCCACCUAAGGGAGCCUGUUGCCAUAAUUGAUAAUCCCUGAUAAACCUUACCACCACUUGCUAAUUCAGUGUAUACACCACCAUCUUCAGCAAACCCUUAAAGGGUGCUAAAGUAAGCUCAAUAGUUGUCACAAAAAAAGUUAGGUCAAGGGGUAGCCUAUGUGGUGGUCCAAGAUGGGCUACAUUUUCUCCCUCAGAAUAUACUAACGAACAUCAUUAUGAAAUAAUGACUGAAGGAGUAUUUAGUAGUAAAUCAAGAACAGAGAGCUUAAUUGAAUUAGGCCAUGAAACAUGUGCAUACCACCCCUCACCCUCCUCAAAUGUUUUUACUAUGGAAUCAUAUGAUAAGCCUAAACAAGUAUGAGAGGAGACAAGUAGUAACAAGGUAAGCAUACUGGAAAGUGUGCUUGGAUAACGCAAAGU